Mirounga angustirostris (Northern elephant seal) is the source of this 12884-nucleotide long non-coding RNA. RefSeq lists it as uncharacterized. The transcript is spliced from 2 exons. Lineage: Eukaryota; Metazoa; Chordata; Mammalia; Carnivora; Phocidae. The record is from RefSeq and is a predicted model, not a curated record.
UGGGAAGCGCGGGCGCGCGGGCGGGCUGAGCUCACACUCCCGGGAAGCGGCCGCGGCGGAACCGGGGUCCGCAGCGACUGCGCAUCGCGCGCCUCUCGCGGGGCGCUCGGGGGCUGCGAGGUGGGCUGCGCGGUCCCCCGGGAGGGAGGAGGCCGCCGGAGAGGAACUGCAAAUGACAGAGCAGAGGGACGGCUGGGGCAACCAAUCCUGGAGCCGCUGCAGCACUUGUUCUCCAAACACACACAUUCUGGUGCAAGGACAGAGAGGAGGGGGCUGCUGGCUCCCAGGCCCUCCCGGGACCCUGGCCCCCUUGCUGCUCCCUGCUGCGGACAGAGGCCACCAUGGGCCAGGGUGGUGAUGGUGCUGCAGCCCCUCCCUGCGGCCCAGCCUGGGAAGAAGAAUGCAGAGCCAGGCAAGUCUCUCUCUCUGUGUCCUCUGGGGUGGAAGGAGCAGGUAUAGACAGGGCUGGGGCAGCAGGGCCUGGUGCUGCUUUGGCAUUGGUGGUGAAAGGCCUUUACCUCCAGCCCCUUGGGUUUGGUUCCACCCCUGGCCUGGCCCUCACCAACCGCGUCUAUGUGCUUAUCGGUGCCACCAUGUUAUAUAACGCUUAUAUAAUCUCCCAGGGCGAGCGCUGUGUCUCUGUUCUCAGGUCAUGCCGACACUGUGUCCCUGUGGGAGGCAGGAUCUGUGGAAGCUUGCGGGUGGACCUUCUCCCCCGUCCUCAACCUGGCUCCUCCUCCUGAUCCCGGGCCUAGGAGGGAGGAUGGGAGAACAGGGGCCCAUCCACACCAGCUGUCUGGGGUUAAGAAAGAGGAGUUGACUGGGUGGCCUCCUCACCUUCCUGCUUCCCUAGGCCCCCUUGCCCAGUGAACUGUCUGGUGGAGUGGAUGCCAGCCUCGUGUUUUGAGGCCCGCGUUUGUUCCUGGGGCCCCCUGCAUGGCAGAUGGGCGGGAUGAGAUGACCCCUAGAAUGUCGUAGUGGAAGAAUACGUGGUAUAUAGGGUUGGAGGGAGAGGGGCGGAAAUUAACUCUGCUUCGAGGUUUUGAUCAGAAGUGACUAGAAGGAUGGUGGUGGCAUUAGGAGACAUUUGGGGCAGGCCUCGGAGCUAGAGGAUGGUCAGGGAAGGGUGUACAGGGAAGUGGAUCAGACAGCAAAGAUAAACAUGGUGUUCUUUUACUGUACUCUCCACUGGGCUGUCCCUGGUUACCAGGGCAACAGAAGCAGUGAUGAAAAUCAUGCCUUUCGUUCAGUGGAAAAAUCUGGCUCCUCCUCCUGCCUAUUCCUUCUCUAAUCGCCUGCGACCCAUUGGGAGGUUGGCGGCUCCAGGGAUCAGAGACCCCAGUAUAUCCCCAUCAGGGCCCCCGUUCCCCAGUUUUUUAAUCAUCUUGCCCCUUCCUGCAUCCUUUAUCUCCCCCAGAGCUUGGCAGUUGCGCAGGAGUUGGAGUGGAUGGAGGAGGGGAGGGCACGGACGUCAUGGCAGGGCAGGGCGAGCAGAGCGUGGGCAGAGAUGUGGUUGCAGGAAUGACUGGCGCACGAGGAGGGUCAGGCAUUGAUCAGCUAGAUGGCACUUGUUUCUGGGGUGGUGGGAGCUGGGGGUGGAAAGGGUUGGAGAGGGCCUGCAGAGUCUGGCAGCGUAGGCUUCCUGUAGUAGAGAAGGCCUCGAGGCUUCUUUUGUUGCCCCGGCUCCCGAUGAAAGCUAGGGUUCAUUUAUGCAGCAGAUAUGGCAUACCUACUGUGUUGAGUAAGGUUCUGGGAGCUGGGAAGACAGGACUGGGCCUUGACCUUGAAGAGAUUGUAGUAGAUGGGAGGAAGGUAGGUAUAUAGGGGAAGAUCAGCCUGGCUUUGUUACAAGCCUGGAAUCUGGGGCCUCAGGCAGGAGACUGGCGGUAUUCCAGACUAGAGGUGAUGGAUUAGGAUGGAGCCUGUAGGAAUGCAGAGGAAGAGUAGUUCAGAGAGCCCCUUUGGCUAAUAGAUAGGACAUGGGGAGGGGAGGGGUGAAGAUUUUGGGUCUUAGUGAUUGACAGAAACAUCAGGAUUCAGACCUCUUGAGGGGCAUUGUGUUUGAUUUUAUUUCAGACCUACUGCCUUCAAGACCACGGCAGGGUGUCCAGAUAGAAAUGUUUCUUGUCAGGCAGAAUUUGCAAUGGAAGUCAAUUCUGGGACAAGACUUGUAGGAAAUUGUAUUACAAAGUCUCGAAGGCGCUAGGUUGCUAAGAGCGUAUACUGAGAGAGAGAGAGCUCAGGACCCAGAGCAUCGGCCUAGAUUGGGUGAGGCUGUAUGUCUUGUACUUGUUUAUGAUCCCAGCACCCACCCAGACUGCUGGACCCGUUUCUGCUAAAGAACACACACGUCUGCUACCAAACCACACCCCUUUUUGAAGUUCAGGUUUCUGUUUAAGUUUCCUUCUCCCUAGUAACUAUGUCCAAGAAGACAUGUAUGUCCUGGAAAGAUAGAUACAGAUACUUCUCCAAGCUUUCUCCUUGCCCUUUGCUGUACCAUUCACUUAGAAAUUACUGAGAAGCCCCAAGAUGUACCUGCUAGAGAGGUGAGCCAUAGGUCUUUAGCCUCCCCCCAGGAAAGCUGUUUGUUCUGGUUCCUUCCCAGUCAUCACUCUAGAGAAGUAAGAGUACUGGACAGAGGGUCAGGAGGCCUUUGCCAGCUGUAUGAUCUUGGGCGAGGCACUCUCUAGGCCUUAUUGCCUAGUCGAAGAGGUCUGGUUUCUUCCAUCUCUAAAGGCUUCGGAUUUGACAUCCAAAGCUUUAUCCAACUUUGUCGGGGUUUCUGGUGAGGGCCAGGCUUUUUGAACAAGCCACGCAGAUUUCUUCGGUACUUUGUGGGAGGGAGUAGCAGGGUGGAGGCCUGGUCUCCAGAGUAGGCCCCUGUCUCCAGAGUGGGUGGGAGCCCAUCAGAGGGAGUGUGGUCCCUAUUCCUCUUGGGAAUUUGGAAACACUGGAAGAGUAGAUUUUCCCAGUGACCAGGGAUUGGCAAACUGCAACCCAUAGGUCAGACGCCUGCUUUUGUAAAUAAAGUUUUAUUGGAACCCAGACAUGCUCAUUGUUUCUGUAUGGUUUAUGGCUGCCUUCCUCCUGCAUUGGUGUAGCUGAGUAAUUGCAACAAAGACUCUCAUCCGUAAGCCUGAGGUACUUACUGUCCUGCCCUUGAGGAAAAAGUGCGCCAUAGACCAGCAAAGUGCUUAGAUCUCCACUGGGGAUGCUUACUGUAGCCACGUCAGAUUCCUAAGGUUCUUGAAGAUUCUGCAUUGGGCCUUCCUUUGUUAUCCCAUGAGAGGAUAAUGUGGCAGUUGAAAUAGGAGAGCAUUGGAGUCAGCCCAAAGAUAGCCGUCUUGGGUCUGGGAGAUCCCUUUCAUUUCCAGCCCUUUCCCUAGAGCCUGGAGGUGCCCCCUCUCCACCCCAUGUCUUUGAGCCUGGUGACCUGAAUUCCUCCGCAGGGAUGGGUUGUGGCCUCACUGUGACAGCUGAUGCUCCCUCUCAUCUCAUUCUGAUUUCCUAGGCCGUGCAGAGCAAAAUGGACCAACUCAAGCCCCAUAAGGAGAAGGAGAGGCUGGUUAGUUCUACCAAGUCCUGCAGUGUAUUUCCCUUGAUAUCUUUGCUUUGUCAUUUCCAGCCUCACUGCCCCCUUUUAGUGCCAGGGCCCCUGGAGAUGCAUUUGCCGAGAGCCUGCCACCAAGCUGCGUUUGUCUGCCUGAACCUGGCACUCAUCCACCCUGUCGGAACAAGGCUCUCCAGCUUGGAGCUUGCGGGGUUUGCAUCUGUGUUGGCUUGGGUCCGGAUUCUUGUGGCCAACUUUACAGUCUCCUCCUGUGUCCAGGCUUCUGCCCUUUGGACCUGGUCCUCAUGCCAGAGUCAUCAUGAAAACUCCUGGUUAGGAAGAGGAGAAGCCACCCCCCGCCCCCCGCCCCGUCCCUCCUACAGGACAGCACUUGUGUCCUGGCUGGUCAAGGCUGAGAUAGGAAGUGAGGCACUUUGGUGGCAAGAAGAAACCACGUUCUGGGAACCGCGUUAGGGGUGAGGGUGACUGAGGCUUAUUCCCAUCGCAGCUGGAAGGGAGGAGGCCGGCAGUGGGAGGAGGGAGCAGACAACCCAGAAUAGCAAAGGAGACAGAAGCUAACCAUACUCAGGGCUGCUUUUAGCUGGUAAUGGUGAGCCUGGCUCUGGGAGUCUUACUUCGCACCUCCCUACACACAUUUUCCCCAGAGGCUGCCUCUCUGACUGUUCUCAUCCCCCCCAAAAAGAAAAAAAAGGGUCCUUCUUAAAAGUCCUCUGAAUACCUUUCAUUUGUAGAAUUUAGGGUGACCUCAUCCUACCUGGGCUUGACCUGGUGUUGACACAAGCACACUGACCUGGGGAAAUAUUUGUUUACCGGAUAUUGAUUAAGGGUGUGUUACGCGUAGGGCACUGGGUGAAGUUCAGAGGCUGCCAAGGAAAACACAGGAUUCACAGUGUAGCCAGGAAGGCGUACGGACAGUUGAACCCAUUAUCACAUGAUCUGCAAUAGAACCCAAGCUUCCCGAGAGCAGAUCUGUGUCUGUCCCGUUCAUUGCUGUCAGCAUGGUGCGGGGUAUUUGCUGGGCACAUGCGCGCACAUGUUUAAUUGGUUGACACGUCUGGAUCUGGCGCGUCCUAGAAGUGUGCUGGAGGGAUCCACUAGGCAAGUGGAGGAAGAGGGGAGCUCAUGGCAGCAAGUGUGGCCAAUUCAGGGGAAGAUGGGACGUCCCUGGGCAUUGUGGUGAUGUGAGGGAAAGAGGGUAGAGAAGAGGUAAUGCCCCGUGGGCAUGGGGAUCCUUGGGCAUCAGGGGACCACGAGAUAGGAGAAUGAUCUGGCGCGAGGAGGCAGGUCAGCAGCAGCCCACCUCGUUGAAGGAAACAGAGGGCUUGGCGGGGGGGCAGGAGAAGCAGCUGGUGGCAGGAAGGUAAGACGGGGCAGGGGGAGUAGCAACCAGUGGGAGAGAAAGCAUGGUGGAGUCUCCAGGCCCCCCAGGGUGAAAGUAGAGCUGAAGCAGGUGAGUCCCAGAGGAAGGUGAUGGAAGUGACAGAGAAGACCAGUGUCAGCGCUGCUCCACGGGUCUCAAAAACAAUCGUGUGCAGGCACGACCCCCCUGUGGUGGGGCAAGUGGGAGGAAAUGAGCGACCGUUGGAGAUCACGGUUACUCUGCAGCAUUCUUACUACGGAAAUGUUCCUAUGUGUGUGAAGAUAGAGUUAGUAGAAGAAGAUCCCAUGUUCUCAUUACAGCUUCAGCCUGUAAUCCACAUGUGGCCCCUCUCAUUUCAUCUGUACCCCACCCACCUGUUCCUUACUCCUCUUUUGCAUUUUGUUACUGCGAAUCCCAGACACCCUAUUUCAUCCGUAAAUUCUCCACUAUGGAUCUCUUAAAGCAUAACGCCGUGGUUGUAUCAUCCCCAAAUCUCCCCAGUCACCUACCUGGCCAGUGUUUACGUUUCCCUGCUGGUCUCCAUUUUUUAACAAAAAUCUGGUUCCAAACAAGAUCCACACAUCUCAUUGAGUUGAUGCUUAUUCUCACGUCUGUGAAUAAAGAUUAUGGACAUGCUUAAAAGAAUUUAUGUUUUGCGGUUCUGCCUUUUAGAUUGACUUAGCUGCCCCCCUCUGUCUCCCUUCAGCUGCCAUCAACAGCUUUCCUGAGUUCUCUUGAACCAUUUUGUGAUUCCUGACCGUACUUCAUUAUUGCUCUUGUCUUUGUGGUUUAAUGGAACUGGUCAUUUAUUCCUUCCUUCAGUAAGUAUUUCUGGAGAGCAUGCUCUGUGCCGGGUGCUGGGCAUGCAGCUGUGAAAAGUCAUGCAGGUACCCUGCUCCCUCUGGAGCUCACAGUCUAACCAUGACACAGUGGUUUGGGUCUGUCUGCCUGUUGUCUCUUUCCCCCACGUGUUCACCCCAGCCGAGUUGGGCGACUGUCACGUCACUUUGGGCCGUCUGCUCUGCUGUGUUCUAGGGCUUGGCAUUCAUGUUCCUGUGCUGUCAUUUAUGUGGUUGACAAAAGGUGCCUCUAGAACCAUCUAGGAGGUGGGGUGUGGCUCCUGUGACGGGCCCCUUUCCAAGCCAUGGGAUUGGGAGUCUAGCAGUGUUCCCGACUGACUUGGCAUAGAUCCAUUUUACACUUUUGGCCUUGAGUCUCUAUAGCUAAGCAAGUUAAAAUGGAGAGAGCCUUCUUCCCUGGCAGAUGGUGGAGAGGCUGAAUGAAACAUCUGGAAGGUGCUCUGAAAUGUUGAAGGGCUCAGCAAACACCAAGUGGUGCAAAGAUGUUCUUUGGGCAAGUUGGCUGUUUCAGUGAUGUUGUGGAUGUCAGGUUGCCUGGGGGCUUUUGUCUGUUCUGAUUAGGUUACCUGCCUCGUUAUGCCCACUUUCUCCAUUUGCUCUUCUUUGCUGUGCAAUAGGCAAUUGGCUAGCCAGGCUGCCUCCGCACCAGAAUCCGAUGGUAGAGUUCAGGUCUGGCUUGCUAAUGAAACUAUUAACUCACUUGCAUUUCUCUGUGUAAAUAAAUAAUCAGACUUACGUUUGGACCCCGUGACACUCUGAGAAGAGUCUAUGAGUUUUGUAUUUUUUUUCCAUUUGCGGUUCAGAUGCAGAUUUAUUGCAGUUUGUGGAUUAGUAUCUGAGCCUUUAAAAAAAUCUCCAUUAAUAAAGUAAAUGUAGGGGCGCCUGGGUGGCUCAGUCGUUAAGCGUCUGCCUUCAGCUCAGGUCAUGAUCCCAGAGUCCUGGGAUCAAGCCCCUCAUCGGGCUCCCUGCUCCGAGGGAAGCCUGCUUCUCCCUCUCCCACUCCCCCUGCUUGUGUUCCUGCUCUCGCUGUUUCUCUCUCUGUCAAAUAAAUAAAUAAAAUCUUUUAAAAAAAUAAAUAAAGUAAAUGUAUUCCCAGAUAUAAAGACUAGUAUUCUUGCACCAUGUUUUAUUAUAUAUUUAAGAUAAUAAUAUAAAAUGUAUUCAAUGUGCUGUGAUAUUUAUCUUCUGUCAUUGGAGUAUUCAUAGGUUAGAGUUUGAGGAUAUGUUUUAUUUUCUUCAAAUUAAGUGGUCUUUGACUGUUUUGAUCAGGUAGCUGUGUUGGUUAAAAUUUUUGAGCAGAUCCCCGUGUGUGUGUGUGUGUGUGUGUAUGUAUAAUUUCUAUACAGCAUGUUAUGCUGAUACAUUAUAUACAGUAUAAUACACAAAAUGAAAAGAAUUAAAAGCAGCUGUGGUGCAGUGUACUCUCUGCCCCCCUCCGCGUGAACCAUUCAUGGUCCAGAUUGAGGGCAGCCGCUUCCACCCCCUCUCACACUCAGGACAUUGGCGCUCCACUAUUCCCUCUCCUUCUGACAUCACUAGUUUUGCCUUCUCUCUACUGGAUCGCUUCCAUGUGCUGUGGUUUCUCUCAGCUUACAAUCUUCUUUGACCCCUCCCCCCCAGCUCUUCCAGCUCCGGCUCCUUUCUCUGUCCCCCCGAGGGUCUUCAGUUCCCCAAAUCUGCACUUCCUCUCUUGACUCCCUCUGGGCAGGCUUGUCCCCACCUGUCUGGGGGGGGGGAGUGCUCUCGACCAAGCCAGCCAUGACCACCAUGUUUCCAAAUCUAACCAUCACUUCUUAGCCUUCAUCCCAGUGGCUCUGGCAGUUUGGUACCACCGGCCGUACCCUUUUCUUUGAAGCUCUUUCUUCGCUUGGCUUCCAGGACACAGGUUUCUGGUUUCCCGCCUGCCUCGUUGUCUGUUCCUUUGCAGCAGCUCCUCUCCCUGACCUUGAAACAUGGGCCCCCUCCUCUCCAUCUCCUCUCUUUCUCUCUCUGACCCUCUCCCAGCCCAUGGCUUUCAGUAGCAUCUAUAUGAAAGAUGUCUAGAAUUUGCUUCAAAGAAACCCUGGGAGAGAAAUGAAGAUUGACCGUGAGUGGAUGACAGUUGGAGCUGGGUGAUGGGUACCUAGGGGUUUAUUAUAGUGCUCUCUCUGGUUUAUGUUUAAAAUUUUCCAUAACGAAAAAUUGAAAACCUAUAUGCUGAUGGCCCACAAUUAUUUGUCUGAAGCCCAGCCCCUCUCCUGAAGUACAGACCUGUGUAUCCAUCUGCCUACUUAACAUUUUAACUUGGAUAUUAAUAGGCAUUUCACACUAAACAUGCCCAAAACUGAGCUCCUGUUUUUCCCACGCAAAUAUAUUCUUCUGCAGUCUUCCAUCUUGGUUGUGGGAAUGCCAUCCUUCCAGUGGCUCAUGCAAAAUGCCUAUGGUCGUGCUUGACUUCUCUUUCUCUUUCAUUUUUCUUUCAGUUCAUCAGCAAAUCUUGUUGACUCUACCUGCAAAUAUAUAGAGAAUAUGACUCGUUAGAACUACUUUCACUGUCAUCACCCUUGUCCAAGCCACCAUCAUUUAUCACCUGUUUCUUCUUGGCCCCUUGCAGAUGAUGUAACCCUCACGGUAGGCAGAAGGAUCCCGCGAUAAAGAAGCCAGGUUCAAAACCCUGCAGCAGCUUCAUUUCUCCCUCACUGAAAGUCAUGGUUCUUAGUACAGUCUACAGGACCCUGUAGCUUUGAAACGCUGUCCACCGGAAAUACAACAUGAGUUACACAUGAGAGCCACAUAUGUAGUUUUCACAUUUUUCUGGUAGCUAAAUUGAGAAAGGAAAAAGAAACAGGUAAAAUUAAUCUUAAUAAUUCAUUAAUCCAGUAUGUCAAAAAUACUUUACUUUCUGAUGCAUAUUGCAGGGUUUUUCAAACAAAGUCACACCCAUAGCACAUCUCAGUUUGGGUUCGCUAUACGCAUCUUGCUCCCAGAGCCUCCUGGGGCUCAUGGUUCCCUGUUGGAAAUGCACGCCUCUGUGAUCAGGUCCCGCUUGACUUCUGUGUUUUUCUCUCCUGCGACUCUUCCUCCUUUCCCUUCGUUCUAGCCACAUUGGCCUUUUUGCCGCUCCUCCAAUAAACUAGGGAUUUCCUCUUUUAGGUCCUAUUCCCUGUGUUUGGAACGCUUUUUGCCAGAUAGCCCUGUAGCGGACUCUUACUUCCUUUGGGUCUGUGCCGGGAUAGUACCUUUGCAGUGGCCCACUCCACCCCCACGCGUUUGCUGGCAUCUCCUGCAUCCCUUCCCUUGCGGCAUUGGUUCUCCUUAGCACCAUCACCCACUUAACAUACUGUGUAUUUCUCUUACUUCAUAUAUAUCUUCCCUCUCUCCCUGCUGGACCGUGAGCUCCAUGAGAGCAGGGGUUUCUGUCACUUUUGUUCCCUGCUGUAUUUCCAGAGCAUGGAACAGUGCUUGGCACCUGUAAGAUACGUAGAUGUUCGUUGAAGAAUUAAAUGGAAUGAAUUAUUAAGAACGAUUCUCUUUUAGUUAAGAACCAUCCCGUUGAAUGUGCUUUAUUGUGUGGUGUCAUGUUCUUGCCAUGUAGCAGUUUGAAGGUCUAGUUCAAGUCAGGGUAUUUUGAAAGAGAUCUCUUUAUAAAGAGGGGAUUAUGGGUUCAAUUUAUAAUAUAAAUGGAUUCAAGACCCCCAAAACACUGCAUUUCAUUCAUUUCCUCGGGAGAUUUUAAACCACGCUUGAACAUUCUGUUUUAAGUGCGUGCCCAGAUACGACAUUUUAGAGAUGAUGUCCUCAUAUUGAAUGUGGCAACAUCGUCACAUGAUGGUAGAAAUGAUUUCCAAAUGCCUGUUUUUUAACAGGUUCUUGCUGUGACAUAAGUCUCUUUCAAAAAGUAAAGGCUUUCUUACCCAUUUUUUAGGUGUCACCUUUACCUUGAAGAGACAGAUUAAAUAUCUGUUUAAAAAUAUUCAUCAAGUAGCAUUCUACCGACAGGCACUCACUGCAGAAGAGGUCAGCAGAUUUUAGAACAAUGAUGUUUUCUGCUUUAAAAAAAAAAAUGCGUAAUUCCUCUUGAAGUUCAGCACCUCGUUUAGGAAGUCUGCCAUGAAUAAUCGGAGUCAGUAUGGUCAGAUCAUUACAGAGGGCUAUCAGUUGUAGGGAAGAUGGUACCCUGAGAUUUGCUGGGUACUUGCAAACUGUACUAAAGUACACAGAUGACGGGGGUGUCGCCGACCGUUCUCGUGGGUGUGUUGGAUCUCCUGCUCAGGUACGGGAUGCCCCCUGCACCUAAGUGACAGUGACCACUGGACGCAAAUGGAAGGAGUCGCAGCAGUGUCUCACAUGUGGAGUAAUAAUAAGAUUUACUUGCUUGUUUUCAAAUAAAAAUAAAUACAGACAUCCUGCUAAUUUCUUCUUCACCCCGGUGGAUCUCGUACAUGCCGCGUCCGAGGUGAUGGCUCUAGUUGGUGCUUUUAUAGUAACCUCGUCUCUCUCACUUUAAUCCAGUUAAGGGUUGGGUCUUCUCUUUUCUGUUGCUCCUAGUAUCUAACAGGUCUGGGUUGCGCCAGUACCUAUUGGCUGAACAGAGUUGGGGGGGGUAGAUCUAUUCUCUGACCUCAGGACCUUUGUUGGACAACAAAGCCUGGCAGCCAGAUGUCUUUGGUAGCUGCUAGAGCUAUUUCUUUAGCAGUAUGGAAGGCAUGGGUGGCAUCAGGGAAAAAGGCAUUGCAGUGUUGAGGCUUGGUGAGUCUCGAUGCCUCCUCUGGAUCCGACAGGAAAGAUGGAAGCUGCUUAAGGCCCCCCCCCGCCCUCCCAUGCUGUGGAGUAGAUGCUUGUGCUCAGCUGCUGCUCUGGAAGUGAGCUGGCAGAGGUUGCUGGAAGAGAUGGCCAAGGUAGCUUGAGUAGCCGGCACUCAAGCUAUGUCUUCCAUCCGCUCACCUGUAUGCUGAGAAUGUUUGUGCAAGUAUGCUCUUUAUCCAUAUUGACGGUCCCCUGGAUGUGGACACUGGGAGUUGAUUUCUCACUGCUGUGACUGGAAGCACCGUUUAAAAGAUGCGUGGCUGGAACGAGAGCUGCAGACUGUGUCAAGAACAGAGGUCCUGGUGUACAUUCUGCCAUGGAGACUACCUCCCAUGUUCCCCGAACCGUGCGUCAAUGCGCAAAGCUUGUCCCCCAGUGGGCCACUCUUUGCUACUUAGAAAGCUAACUGAUCCAUCAGCAUCUGUUCAUUGACACACAUUUGUACAGGGCCUCUUGGGUGAAAGAUGGAGUGGGGUGGGGAUGGGAAAGGAAGGAAUAUGCCAGUGUGAAUGGGACAUGGUCUCUUGUCUUUGAGGAGCUAGAGGUUAGUGGAUACUGAAAUACUGAAAUACAAGACAAAGCUUAAAAGGGAUGUGAAUGGAGUAGAAGAAGGGGUUACAGGAGCCAAGGGGCUGUUGGGAAGUGGAGGAGAGCUCUUGGAACACGAGCAAGAAGAUCUUGUCCAUCUUGUUCACAGCUGAAUCCUCAGAGGCUAGCACAGUGCUGAUCCCCGUCAGGUGCUCCGUAAUUACCUAUUUGUUAACAAUUGGGUGUUGAAGGAAUAGGCCUUCACCCAGAGGUGCAAUGCAAAGGCCCAGGGGUGAAGGAAGAAAUGACUUCUUGGGAGAAAGUAGUUGGUGUGCUCUGAGGGGUGUAUGUGGCAAGAGACGGGGCUAUAUAUUGCAGAAUUAAGGGCAGUCUUGGGAAAGCCGUGACCAACUUUCUAAGAAUUUGAUUGUGGUGGUUCUUAACCUCUUUUGCACCAGUGCUCAUCAGGAAUAGCAUAGAAACUAUAGUCUCUUUCUCCAAAGAGAAAAAAAAUCGCAACAGCACAUGAUCUGGCACUUACCAUCGGAGGACUCCCAGAUCCCAAGUUCUAAGAGCAUGCUGUUAGCCAGGGGAGCUGUCCGUGCUUACUGAGAGCUCAUAAUGGAUACAAGACACUUGUUUUUCCCUUGGAUUCUUUGGGAAUUGACUCCCAUGAGUGUGUAUGGAGGCGUUCCAGCUUUUAAGGGCUCUGAUAGGUGGCAGGUACAGUAGUGACCUCGACGAGCUCGGGGAAGCCAUGGAGAAGAGGGGAGGGGUCUUUGUGUACAGACAGAAAUGGGGAGAUCCAGUGUUUGUUCCAUUUAGCAUGGGACAAAAAAGUUUACCUUGGAAAAAAAUAGGAAAAAAAAAAGUGAACCUUUAAAACUUACUAAUUUAGAAUAUGGGACGCUUAUGCUAACUUUUUUCUGUGACGUGGUUUCCAACUCAGACACCCGGCCAAGCAGUAAUGACAGAUUUAGAGAGGCGGUGUUUGCAUUUUUUGGGAACGGUGAUUGUGGAAAGGAGUCAUUAGAGUUUCACGUUACCUUGGUACAGCGAUCGAGGAGCUCCUUAGCCGUCCCGAUCCAUCAGAGGGAGCUGCCUGGAGGUGGCGAGAUUUCUCAGGCUGCUUCUAAGAGCAGAAAGCUGGGGCUGAAGGUAGUUUAAAAUUAGCUUGUUUUGUUCCCGUUGUCAUAAAAAAAAAUUCUUAUGAAGAAAGAGUAUCUGUGUACCUUCAGUUGAAAAAUAAAUUGACCAGACUUCCUGUCUGCCAGGAGUUUGUAGUCUACCUCAUAUACAGAUAGGACAUUUGGAGAUUUGAAAAACCCAGUGUGGGCAGCGCACUGUUGACUUUCCUGCCUGUGUGUGUCCUACGAAGUUCAUCCCAUGGAGGUGCGGUGAGGCAGUGCUUCAUCCCAGUGAAGGAGGUCGAUUGAAGAUCAGCCCUGCGUGCGGCCAUGCUCCCCGCAGGCCAGCACCGGAAGGCGCCACUGGAGAUGGAAGAGGAGCACCCUUGAGCUCCUGCCCCCAGAGCAGAGCAGGGAGCAGGCUCGGGAACCCAUGCAGCAGCGUGUGCUUGAUGCAUCCUCUUUCUCCCCUCUGCUGAGGCUUCCCACUCGUGUACUCAGUGGGAUUUUGCUUUGUGAGCUUAGUCUGUGAGUGAGCUUUAAAGGUUUUUUUCAAGGAGAAGAGCCCCUCCUGUUUUCCCUGCAGAUGCAUUCGGACUGCAAGUCCAGACACCUUAAUGGGGGGUGAAAUCAAUUUAAUGGAUUGAGACCAA